GGGUGAUCACAUGCAAACGACAAAGAGAGCUACAACCUUUUCCAGGUCAAGAAAUGUAAUUGCUUGGAGGAAAAAUUUGGCAAAAUAAGGAAUAAGCCAAGCAAAGAGAGCAAGCUGAAAGGAAUAAGGCAAAGGCAGGCAGUAACGUCUGGGCAGGCACUGUGCAUUGUUCAGUGUGCCUCCUUUCUGUUUAAAGGGAAAUGGUAGAGGGGAAAUGUCAUUUUUUUUUUUUAUUUGCACAAGUAAAAGAAAGCUGGUAGUUUCCUCUUCUCCCGCUUCUGUGAUUCUUUGCCAUUUUCUGGAAGAAGUAACAGAGGUCAGACAAGGAGAGGGUGAAUUCUCAAAACCGGAAUUUAUUGUUCCAAUACAGAGCAAUGCAAUGGGUUUGCAGUUGGAAUAUGGCUUAUUGAAGACUGAAUGUAAGAACAGGAGACUUCUAGUCUCCAUCUGUGCCCUGGAUAUCCCACAGCAUUCCUUACCCAAAUCCCACAAGGAGAGAGCUGGUAUUCUAGGAGUGCUGUCCCUCCUAAGCUCACAGGUCUCCCCUUUGGAAACUUGCAUCCCAUCGCCUCCUCCCACUGCUUCUAUGAGGGUGCUUCCCCACCCACAAACUCCAGUCUUCUCACCCUGGAAUUCCUAUACACUGGGUCAUCUAACAGCCUCAAGCCCAAGGCCUGCUCCUCCCACUGACAUCUAACAAGGCCAUCCUCUGCCACAUAUGCGGCUGGAGCAUGGGUUACUCCAUGUGUACUCUGAAAGUGGAUGUCAGGAACAGUUCCCUAUUAGCUUGCUGUGAGGAUUCAAUUUAUUAAUCUGGGAAAGUGUACAGAAGAUAUAUAUAUACACACACAUAUGUAUAUAUCUUAAAAAUGAAGUAGAAAUCAGCUGCGGAAAUGUGGACAACACAAAACCAAACUGUCCUGACACAUUUCUUCAGAAGUUCUGGCUAUACCUUUCUCCCAGGUCUUUUCAAACCUUGUAGGAGGCACUGGCCUGCUGCUCUGAAAUUAACUAAGGCCUCCCUGGAGAGGAGCUGUGUCACAUGAGUAUCCUGACACAUCAGUUCCUCCACCUAAAUGUGCCCUGUGACCCCACACUGGAGGAUUCUGAUCAGUGUGCAGGGAGUCCCUGCAACUUCCAGGAAGAAGACUGUGUAUUCCAGUAGCAUUUCAACAAAACAACAGGAGCAGCAGCAGCAGCAGUAACUGCAACAACAACAACAACAACAACAACAACAACAACAACAA
Molecule: long non-coding RNA, 1247 nt
Organism: Mus musculus (house mouse)
Lineage: Eukaryota; Metazoa; Chordata; Mammalia; Rodentia; Muridae
Product: predicted gene, 31268
Exons: 6
Source: RefSeq, a predicted model, not a curated record